GACGAACGCUGGCGGCGUGCUUAACACAUGCAAGUCGAACGGAAAGGCCCUGCUUUUGUGGGGUGCUCGAGUGGCGAACGGGUGAGUAACACGUGAGUAACCUGCCCUUGACUUUGGGAUAACUUCAGGAAACUGGGGCUCAUAUCGGAUAGGAUCUACUGCUGCAUGUUGUGGGAUGGAAAGUUUCGGCGGUUGGGGAUGGACUCGCGGCUUAUCAGCUUGAUGGUGGGGUAGUUGCUUACCAAGGUUUUGAAGGGUAGCCGGCCUGAGAGGCUGACCGGCGACAUUGGGACUGAGAUACGGCGCAGACGCGUACGGGAGGCAGAAGGGGGGAAUCUUGCACAAUGGGGGGAAGCCUGAUGCGGAAACGCCGCGUGCGGGAUGAUGGCCUUCGGGUUGUAAACCAAUUUCGCAUGUGACGAAGCGUGAGUGACGGUAACGGGUCAAGAAGCCCCGGCUAACUACGUG
RNAcentral lists this ribosomal RNA (468 nucleotides) under uncultured bacterium. RNAcentral's name for it is "partial 16S ribosomal RNA". It matches the Rfam family "Bacterial small subunit ribosomal RNA", at positions 28 to 507 of the family's 1533-position model. The record is from RNAcentral.